RNAcentral lists this ribosomal RNA (385 nucleotides) under uncultured bacterium. Its description in RNAcentral is "bacterial SSU rRNA". It matches the Rfam family "Bacterial small subunit ribosomal RNA", at positions 29 to 412 of the family's 1533-position model. The record is from RNAcentral.
AUUGAACGCUGGCGGCGUGCCUAACACAUGCAAGUCGAGCGGUAACAGGUGUAGCAAUACAUGCUGACGAGCGGCGGACGGGUGAGUAACGCUUGGGAAUCUGCCUGUUAGUGGGGGACAACCCGGGGAAACUCGGGCUAAUACCGCAUACGCACUACGGUGGAAAGCCGGGGACCGCAAGGCCUGGCGCUAACAGAUGAGCCCAAGUCGGAUUAGCUAGUUGGUAGGGUAACGGCCUACCAAGGCGACGAUCCGUAACUGGUCUGAGAGGACGACCAGUCACACCGGAACUGAGACACGGUCCGGACUCCUACGGGAGGCAGCAGUGGGGAAUAUUGGACAAUGGGCGAAAGACCUGAUCCAGCGACGCCGCGUGGGUGAAGAA